CCCCGCCAAACCUCACACCUCGAAAGAAAAACAACCUCACUAUAUAAUGAGGCUGUUCACUUUAAACCGAGGAAACAGGAUACUCUUUUGCUUCCAAUGAUACAAGCAAUCUCCAGAAACAGCACUGCACUAACCUAGUCCCGAGACCAGUUACUUCUUUGGAAAGACUGUAAUAGGAGUGACAUGGAAAAUUAAAAAAAAUACUGUGA
This 209-nucleotide long non-coding RNA is filed under the name Anser brachyrhynchus (Pink-footed goose). RNAcentral's name for it is "lncRNA (ENSABRG00000011909.1)". The record is from RNAcentral. Lineage: Eukaryota; Metazoa; Chordata; Aves; Anseriformes; Anatidae.